This 433-nucleotide ribosomal RNA is filed under the name uncultured bacterium. RNAcentral describes it as "partial 16S ribosomal RNA". It matches the Rfam family "Bacterial small subunit ribosomal RNA", at positions 29 to 507 of the family's 1533-position model. The record is from RNAcentral.
AACGAACGCUGGCGGCAUGCCUAACACAUGCAAGUCGAACGAGACCUUCGGGUCUAGUGGCGCACGGGUGCGUAACGCGUGGGAACCUGCCCUUAGGUUCGGAAUAACUCCCCGAAAGGGGUGCUAAUACCGGAUAAUGUCUUCGGACCAAAUAUUUAUCGCCUUUGGUUGGGCCCGCGUUGGAUUAGCUCGUUGGUAGGGUAAAAGCCUACCACGGCGACGAUCCAUAGCUGGUCUGAGAGGAUGAUCAGCCACACUGGGACUGAGACGCGGCCCAGACUCCUACGGGAGGCAGCAGUGGGGAAUAUUGGACAAUGGGCGAAAGCCUGAUCCAGCAAUGCCGCGUGAGUGAUGAAGGCCUUAGGGUUGUAAAGCUCUUUUAACCGGGAUGAUAAUGACAGUACCGGGAGAAUAAGCUCCGGCUAACUCCGUG